RNAcentral lists this ribosomal RNA (446 nucleotides) under uncultured bacterium. Its description in RNAcentral is "SSU rRNA". It matches the Rfam family "Bacterial small subunit ribosomal RNA", at positions 26 to 518 of the family's 1533-position model. The record is from RNAcentral.
AGAACGAACGCUGGCGGCAUGCCUAACACAUGCAAGUCGAACGAGACCUUCGGGUCUAGUGGCGCACGGGUGCGUAACGCGUGGGAAUCUGCCCUUAGGUACGGAAUAACAGUGAGAAAUUACUGCUAAUACCGUAUGAUGUCUUCGGACCAAAGAUUUAUCGCCUAGGGAUGAGCCCGCGUUGGAUUAGCUAGUUGGUGGGGUAAAGGCCUACCAAGGCGACGAUCCAUAGCCGGUCUGAGAGGAUGAUCAGCCACACUGGGACUGAGACACGGCCCAGACUCCUACGGGAGGCAGCAGUGGGGAAUAUUGGACAAUGGGCGAAAGCCUGAUCCAGCAAUGCCGCGUGAGUGAAGAAGGCCUUCGGGUUGUAAAGCUCUUUUACCCGGGAAGAUAAUGACUGUACCGGGAGAAUAAGCCCCGGCUAACUCCGUGCCAGCAGCCGC